ACAUAGCUCGGGAGUGUCCUAGAGCACCUUUUAUGGGCCAGCCCCAGCAAAUAGCUUCUGGUAGUGUGGCACAGCCAGCAGCUCCAACCACAACUCAGGGCAGUGGCAGAGGUAGAGGGAGAGGGGCAGCCUCUUCUUCUGGUUCCCGAGGUGAAGGUCCAUCAGCUCCAGCCAGGAUCUUCACCAUGACUCAGCAGGAGGC
RNAcentral lists this long non-coding RNA (202 nucleotides) under Manihot esculenta (cassava). RNAcentral describes it as "long non-coding RNA (MESC_LNC007413)". Lineage: Eukaryota; Viridiplantae; Streptophyta; Magnoliopsida; Malpighiales; Euphorbiaceae. The record is from RNAcentral.